This 484-nucleotide ribosomal RNA is filed under the name uncultured bacterium. Its description in RNAcentral is "partial 16S ribosomal RNA". It matches the Rfam family "Bacterial small subunit ribosomal RNA", at positions 38 to 507 of the family's 1533-position model. The record is from RNAcentral.
AGGGAAAGAGGGAGGAAGGACGAAGAAAGGAAAGUAGAGUGGAUGAAGGGAGCUUGCUCCUGGAUUCAGCGGCGGACGGGUGAGUAAUGCCUAGGAAUCUGCCUGGUAGUGGGGGAUAACGUCCGGAAACGGGCGCUAAUACCGCAUACGUCCUGAGGGAGAAAGUGGGGGAUCUUCGGACCUCACGCUAUCAGAUGAGCCUAGGUCGGAUUAGCUAGUUGGUGGGGUAAAGGCCUACCAAGGCGACGAUCCGUAACUGGUCUGAGAGGAUGAUCAGUCACACUGGAACUGAGACACGGUCCAGACUCCUACGGGAGGCAGCAGUGGGGAAUAUUGGACAAUGGGCGAAAGCCUGAUCCAGCCAUGCCGCGUGUGUGAAGAAGGUCUUCGGAUUGUAAAGCACUUUAAGUUGGGAGGAAGGGCAGUAAGUUAAUACCUUGCUGUUUUGACGUUACCAACAGAAUAAGCACCGGCUAACUUCGUA